Molecule: non-coding RNA, 72 nt
Organism: Trichonephila inaurata madagascariensis
Lineage: Eukaryota; Metazoa; Arthropoda; Arachnida; Araneae; Nephilidae
Source: the annotation of a GenBank genome assembly
GGUUCCGUAGUGUAGUGUUAUCACGUUCGCUUCAAUAGCGAAAGUUGCCCCGGUUCGAUCCCGACGGAACCA